RNAcentral lists this long non-coding RNA (841 nucleotides) under Homo sapiens (human). Its description in RNAcentral is "HSALNT0280110". Lineage: Eukaryota; Metazoa; Chordata; Mammalia; Primates; Hominidae. The record is from RNAcentral.
UCCAGGUCUGCUGAGUCAGGCAGAAUUAACCCCAGGUGAUUUGUGUGCAGAGUACAAUUUGAGACGUGCUGCCUUGCGUGACCAGGUGAUCUGAGUUUACUUCUAGCGCUAAGACCCAACUUUCUCUAAGAUUAUCUUACUUCCAAAGGAAAAAGGAGUGAUGACUGCAGUGAUUGGGCCACUGAAGGAGCCUGUCCAGAGAAACAAGAAAUCAGCUUUGUGGACUACUGUAACCAAAUCAAGGUCAGAGUUGGCUACUCUCUGAGGCUUUCUGUCAUGAAUCUGCUGGCGGCCUCUCAGGGCAGAGACCCUGACCUCGCAUGUAGAUCCAGAUUCUUGCCAAUGCCCAGACAGAUGGGGGUCCCUGUGUGAGGAAAGGAGCACUCAGUGUGGGUCCUGCUACCUCCUGAAUCCUUUUCCACCUUCUGUGGCACCUGCUAUUUUGCUGCUGAGGUUUCUUCUGGGCCUAUAUGACAUGCCCGUAAUUUUGAGCUUCCUUUGAAGUUAAGAGGAGGUCAUCUGACAACUUCUACUGAAUGAAUUCUGUGAAGAAAUGGCAUAUGUUAUGUAUGGGCCAAAGAAGUGUAGAACUAGUGUGCCUCUUCCAUCUUUCUUUUUCAACCAUGGCAACCUGGGAAUUCACAUAUUGAGAUGGCAGUUUCACCAGAUGGAGGAGGUUUGGAUCCCUGAGUCACCAGAUGGAGGCAAGCUCUGGCCAACUUGCAUUGGAGUUCAUACAAAGUGAUUCAACAAAUGAAUUUCGCAGUACCACAUCUGCCACCUCCUGAUUUGUGCACUUCUUGCUGCCACCAUGUGAAGAAGGAUGUGUUUGUUACCCCUU